This is a long non-coding RNA of Populus euphratica (Euphrates poplar), 786 nucleotides long. RefSeq lists it as uncharacterized. The record is from RefSeq and is a predicted model, not a curated record. The transcript is spliced from 3 exons. Lineage: Eukaryota; Viridiplantae; Streptophyta; Magnoliopsida; Malpighiales; Salicaceae.
CGUCUCCAACACACUUACUCUUCCUCGUCCAUCUUCUUUCUUCUGAUUUAAUCAAAUCAUUGGAUAACAUCUUGCUGCUUCUGCUGCUCGGGUAGGGACAGAAGAAAAAAUGGUUGGAGGAAGCGAUCCAUUUCGACGUUAUUUUGAGAAAAUGGAUGAUGGUUUAUUGAAGUGCAAAUUUUGUGAGAAGAAAUUGGCUAAAGAUACUAAAGCUACAAGGAUGAAAUGUCAUAGGAUGAAGGUGCUGCUCCCUCCUUGGUUGUUGUCUAGACUCGGAUUGGAAGUGAUUGUAGUCGAAGAUUGUUACGACAUGCAGGAGAUAAUGGGAAGUUGUGAAGUUUUGGUACAUAAAAGGAGCUUCUCUCUCUUUCUGGUAGUUUUGAUAAAACAUUGAGGGUUUUGAUACUGAAGAAAUUACCAAAUUUGAAAAGCAUUUAUUCUGGAGGACUUCUAUGCAAUUCUCUCGAAGAAAAUUACUAUGGGUGAUUGCCCGCAGCUAACGAGGAUCCCGAUCACUAUUUCCCAUUCUCUUAAGAAAAUUGAAGUAGAUCCUGAAAGUUUGUUGAACACAAUUGAGCAUUUUUGAAGGCCUUGCCUCUUACCCACAAGAAGAUGCAUUUCACAGCUAGAAGCAGUGCUCUCUGGUGAAAUGCCAUGACCGCACCCAUUAUGGUCAUGGUUUCCAAUCCUGUUUUGUUGUGAUUGGUUCCUCGUGGCUUAUGCAAGAUAUGGUAAUGUGAUAUGGUAAUUAUCGUAUUUAUACAAAAUAGAUCAAUUAUCAUGGGG